RNAcentral lists this ribosomal RNA (482 nucleotides) under uncultured Armatimonadota bacterium. Its description in RNAcentral is "bacterial SSU rRNA". It matches the Rfam family "Bacterial small subunit ribosomal RNA", at positions 1 to 498 of the family's 1533-position model. The record is from RNAcentral. Lineage: Bacteria; Bacillati; Armatimonadota.
ACUGGAGUUUGAUCCUGGCUCAGAUUGAACGCUGGCGGCAUGCCUUACACAUGCAAGUCGAACGGGGGCUUCGGCCCCAGUGGCGAACGGUCGCGUAACACGUAAGCAACCUGCCCUGAAGUGGGGGACAACAUCCCGAAAGGGUGCUAAUACCGCAUGUGGUCACGAGUCGGCAUCGACUUGUGUCUAAAGAUUUAUCGCUUCAGGAUGGGCUUGCGGCCUAUCAGGUAGUUGGUGGGGUAAUGGCCUACCAAGCCGACGACGGGUAGCUGGUCUGAGAGGUCAAUCCCCCACACUGGCACUGAGAUACGGGGCCAGACUCCUACGGGAGCAGCAGUAGGGAAUAUUGGGGCAAUGGACGCAAGUCUGACCCAGCCAUGCCCGCGUGCAGGAUGAAGGCGUUAUGCGUUGUAAACUGCUUUUAUACAGGAAGAAACGACUCUUGCGAGAGGCAUUGACGGUACUGUAUGAAUAGCACGGCU